CUCGCUAGAGUGUGCUAGCCCCGUCGCGUCUGGUUUGUGUGAGACAGGUGCGCGGCGUUUUAUAGCGUUUUCUCGGGCAAAAUGCCCGGGUGUUGCGUGCCACAGUGCACAAACCACUCGCGAAAUGGCUAUAGGAUGUUCAGAUUUCCGAAAGAUCCGAAAAGGCGACUCCUGUGGCUGGUAAAGAUCAAGCGCGACAAGUGGCAACCCACGGACCGUUCGUGUUUGUGCAGCGGACAUUUCGAAGAAACCGCAUUUGAGCAGAACCGUGCGGACGGCUGAAAAAAAUUGAAGCCGAAUGCUCUGCCAACAAUCUUUUCGUUCAGAGCGAUGCCUAAGCACAGGAAGCCACCAAAAGAAAGGUUUUUACCACAAGGGACGCCUGCGGCCGCAGAAGAAAGUUGUUCUCUGCACAGUCAACCCCAUGCUUCUGAUACCUCAGCGACAGAAAUUCAAGAACAACAUGUCAACGACAUAGCUGGUAUGCAACAAACAGCAAAUCAAGAAUUGCAGCCACUACCGAGUGAUGGCACGGAGAUGUCUCGUGAUCAGAUGAGCAACUUACCUAGCCCAAGUGCCACGGCAGAAACUGAAGUUCCUACAACAGAUGAUUCUCAGCUAGUUGCAUGCCCACU
Long non-coding RNA from Rhipicephalus microplus (southern cattle tick), 635 nucleotides. Lineage: Eukaryota; Metazoa; Arthropoda; Arachnida; Ixodida; Ixodidae. The record is from RefSeq and is a predicted model, not a curated record.